CCGGUACUGUGCACUGGAGGGUACCACCCUAUUUGCACUCCUGGACGCUGCACUCAUUUGAAUAAGGGAAACAGUAACAAGCAGCCAGAAAGUGGCGUAUGAAGGGUGGUGAGGUGCACACGCAGACUGAAAUAUACAAGCCUGCAUCGCAUCUGUUCUGCAAUCUCUUUUCAGCGUCAUUUCCUUCAGUUGGACUAUAAAGUUAUCCGCACAAAGCAGCAAUUUCAGAUACAAUGCCAGCAAAGUGCUGAGGACAAUGCAAUAAACAACAUUAUUGGUACCAGCGUGUACCAUGCAAAAACAAAAAGCAAUAUUCUUCAGGGUCUUGCUGGCUCUGAAUUUGUAUAAGAAAUCACACUGAAGAUUAGCUAGCUAAGUAUUCCAGACCUCCUGCUAAAGGCCUCUGUCAUAUUGAUGACCUAGGUCUAGUAAAAUCAUGACAAACCAGAUCUUUGGAUACAAUAAACAGCUCACAUUCGGUUCCGUGCUGCUUGGGGGGUCAUGCUGGUGGGUAUUUCUGAACAUUCAGGUGAUCCCUGAAACUUUCAGGAAACGUUUCCUGAGCUCUGGAAGUUUCGCACAUUCAUGCCAGAAGCACGUUUUUUGGCAUUUGAUGUUGUCCUCUUAAAAAAUUUGUCAUCCACUCAGGGAGCAGAACCAAAUGUCACGUGACCAGCGACACUACAAAUAGUCCAAAUGCACAAUUUACAAACAAUCCCCCAUUGUUACAGUUAUUCGUACAAACCAUUUCGUGCUAAUACUUACACCUUGGCCCAGUCUAGUGCCAACAACUGCUGACUGCAUCCACAGCUAACAGGACUGGCUCCCACAUGACUCCCAAUACUCAUAUCAGAAAAGGCAAAACCCUCUGAUUUCCAGCUGUGUGACUACAACACGACCAGCGUUGGUAUCACGGAGCGAUUGAAGAAGCUUGGUAAAUCACAGCAGUGAACGCUCGCCUUUGCUUAUCAAGAAUAAAUGAAAAAAAAAAAUUCCAGACAUACCAAAUGCUCCACCAGUCAAACAUUGAGAACUGGGUGUGUCUCCAAGGUGCUUAUUGUUAGCUCAGCAUUGGGGAAGUACGUGCAGCGCAGCAGAUCAGUACCCAGGAAAGGCAACUGGAGUGGGUAUAGGGAAAGAAUGCAGAAUCCGGCCCAUUAUGCGGUUAAUGUUGCACCCACACCUUGCACCGAGGGCACAGAAAACCCCAACUGCUGAGAAAUCAGCGGAGGUAGUUUCCACUACAUGGAAACAGUAAGCAUGCAAAAGCAGAUGCCAGGCUGUAAAUCUGGUCUGUGAAGCAACUGAAGGCCUCGUGACACAACCUGACAGGAUCCUGGCCAAGUUACACAGUCACGUAAAGCAUUUUUUUUCAAAACCCUGGGAAAUGAA
Molecule: long non-coding RNA, 1392 nt
Organism: Chrysemys picta bellii (western painted turtle)
Lineage: Eukaryota; Metazoa; Chordata; Testudines; Emydidae
Source: RefSeq, a predicted model, not a curated record